Bactrocera neohumeralis is the source of this 1422-nucleotide long non-coding RNA. RefSeq lists it as uncharacterized. The record is from RefSeq and is a predicted model, not a curated record. Lineage: Eukaryota; Metazoa; Arthropoda; Insecta; Diptera; Tephritidae. The transcript has 2 exons.
AGAGGAAUUACUUUUUUACUUAGAACUCGAUUCCUAAAAAAAUUAGUUUUAAUACCACACUAAAAAAAAUAAAUUUCGGCGUAAAGUAUUCCGACUUAAAAUAAUUUCAAGUUCAUCCAAGUGAUUACGUUAAGCAAUUGUUUCACUUGCAUACAUACACAUACAUAAUUACACUACGUUAAUAACAGAAAUGUUAAUAAAACACUCGAAAGCGCAAGUAAUAACACUUUUCACAACCUGUCCCUCACCUCAACCACUUUUUCUUAGUCCCUUCCUCAUUACACUUGCACAUUAUCAACACGCUUGCUUGCUUGGAAUGAAAGUAUAUAUGAAUGAUCAGCAUGCAGCCAACGCACCACGAAUUUUGCACAACAUUAAGCGCCUUAUAACUCACCAGCAAACACCGCAGACGUUCACCGCACAUACGUUGCGACUUUAAGCCCUCAUUUCUACUGCAUCCACUUUUUAUCUAAAUAUUUAUUGCUUGAAUUUCAGCACAUCAUAUCUUAAAUAACUAUUAAAAUCACGUCUGCUGCAAUGCACCAAUUAAUUUUGCACAUUUUUUGAUUUACUUUAACCUUUUUCAGUACUAACUAAACUCCAGCGUUGUCGUUUUGGUUUACACUUUCUUUGAAAUUCCAUUAUUAUUUUUUACUUUUUUCAUUCUUCAUAUUUUUUUUCCUUUUUUGGUCUCUACCAUUUAUGUUGUGAGCACAUCAUGAUUUACAUUUUGAAUUUCUGAAUUUCUGCACUUCUGCACCUGAACCGGCAUUUGCAUCUGUAUCAGCAUUGCGCAUUCGCGACGCGACGUCAUGGUGCGGCGCUCACCGCGCAGUUGUGUGUUUUGUCAACAUCCAACGCCUGAACGUCCGAUCCGCGCGCGACAGCCGUCGACAGUCAGCAGUCAGCCGUUAAUUCCUCCACCAUAAGUGGCUAUAUAGUCCAGUCAUUAUAUUAUGGAAUAAAAAUUGUCUUCCACCACUUUAGUUGUUAAAAGGUGACCAAUUAUAUCCGCAACCGUUUCAUUCCCAGAGCCGGUACGAAGAGCAUGGCGUAUGGAUGAAUUUUGAAAAAGUGGCGGUUUCAUCACAAACUUAACGAAAGGGAGCAAUUUGAAGUAAUUUACAGAAUAUGUACUGCUUCGAUCAUCAUGGCGCACAUGAACCAAAAUACAGGAGCUGUGGAAUUUUAAAGGCCUGGGCAGUGGUAAUAAGAUCGGUGUGCGAAAUUCGCAUAAGCAAAAUAUCUGUAUGCUGAAACCGAAAACAUACUGACAGGGAAACUGAUAAAGAAAGUAAUUGCUGAAUUCAGCUCUCUGCCAAUGAACUGGUCGCUCUAAAUUAUUUUAUUUAGCUCUUCGUUUAAACCCAUACUAAGAAUAUCAAGAGUUGUAGCGGAAUAAAUGAAAUAAAUAAAGUUAAA